This 566-nucleotide ribosomal RNA is filed under the name uncultured bacterium. RNAcentral describes it as "partial 16S ribosomal RNA". It matches the Rfam family "Bacterial small subunit ribosomal RNA", at positions 355 to 914 of the family's 1533-position model. The record is from RNAcentral.
UGGGGAAUUUUGGACAAUGGGGGAAACCCUGAUCCAGCCAUCCCGCGUGUGCGAUGAAGGCCUUCGGGUUGUAAGCACUUUUGGCAGGAAAGAAACGUCGCGGGUUAAUACCCCGCGAAACUGACGGUACCUGCAGAAUAAGCACCGGCUAACUACGUGCCAGCAGCCGCGGUAAUACGUAGGGUGCAAGCGUUAAUCGGAAUUACUGGGCGUAAAGCGUGCGCAGGCGGUUCGGAAAGAAAGAUGUGAAAUCCCAGAGCUUAACUUUGGAACUGCAUUUUUAACUACCGGGCUAGAGUGUGUCAGAGGGAGGUGGAAUUCCGCGUGUAGCAGUGAAAUGCGUAGAUAUGCGGAGGAACACCGAUGGCGAAGGCAGCCUCCUGGGAUAACACUGACGCUCAUGCACGAAAGCGUGGGGAGCAAACAGGAUUAGAUACCCUGGUAGUCCACGCCCUAAACGAUGUCAACUAGCUGUUGGGGCCUUCGGGCCUUGGUAGCGCAGCUAACGCGUGAAGUUGACCGCCUGGGGAGUACGGUCGGCAAGAUUAAAACUCAAAGGAAUUGAC